AACAACAGUCGGUAGGCUGUCU
This 22-nucleotide microRNA is filed under the name Chrysemys picta (Painted turtle). RNAcentral's name for it is "cpi-miR-21-3p". Its record names the gene cpi-miR-21-3p. Lineage: Eukaryota; Metazoa; Chordata; Testudines; Emydidae. The record is from miRBase by way of RNAcentral. RNAcentral also lists the same sequence under 2 other names.